RNAcentral lists this ribosomal RNA (316 nucleotides) under uncultured Cryptococcus. RNAcentral's name for it is "partial large subunit ribosomal RNA". It matches the Rfam family "Eukaryotic large subunit ribosomal RNA", at positions 40 to 350 of the family's 3401-position model. Lineage: Eukaryota; Fungi; Basidiomycota; Tremellomycetes. The record is from RNAcentral.
AUAUCAAUAAGCGGAGGAAAAGAAACUAACAAGGAUUCCCCUAGUAGCGGCGAGCGAAGCGGGAAGAGCUCAAAUUUAAAAUCUAGCGUCCUCAGGGCGUUCGAGUUGUAAUCUACAGACGCGUUUUCUGCGCUGGACUGUGUCCAAGUCCCUUGGAAUAGGGUAUCAAAGAGGGUGACAAUCCCGUACUUGACACAACAACCAGUGCUCUGUGAUACGUGUUCUACGAGUCGAGUUGUUUGGGAAUGCAGCUCAAAAUGGGUGGUAAAUUCCAUCUAAAGCUAAAUAUAGGCGAGAGACCGAUAGCGCACAAGUA